AGAGUUUGAUCCUGGCUCAGGAUGAACGCUGGCGGCGUGCCUAACACAUGCAAGUCGAACGGAGCUGCUUUGAUGAAGUUUUCGGAUGGAUUUAAAACAGCUUAGUGGCGGACGGGUGAGUAACGCGUGGGUAACCUGCCUCACACUGGGGGAUAACAGUUAGAAAUAGCUGCUAAUACCGCAUAAGCGCACGGUUCCGCAUGGAACAGUGUGAAAAACUCCGGUGGUGUGAGAUGGAUCCGCGUCUGAUUAGCCAGUUGGCGGGGUAACGGCCCACCAAAGCGACGAUCAGUAGCCGGCCUGAGAGGGUGAACGGCCACAUUGGGACUGAGACACGGCCCAAACUCCUACGGGAGGCAGCAGUGGGGAAUAUUGCACAAUGGGGGAAACCCUGAUGCAGCGACGCCGCGUGAGUGAAGAAGUAUUUCGGUAUGUAAAGCUCUAUCAGCAGGGAAGAAAGUGACGGUACCUGAAUAAGAAGCCCCGGCUAACUACGUGCCAGCAGCCGCGGUAAAACGUAGGUCACAAGCGUUGUCCGGAAUUACUGGGUGUAAAGGGAGCGCAGGCGGGAAGACAAGUUGGAAGUGAAAUCUAUGGGCUCAACCCAUAAACUGCUUUCAAAACUGUUUUUCUUGAGUAGUGCAGAGGUAGGCGGAAUUCCCGGUGUAGCGGUGGAAUGCGUAGAUAUCGGGAGGAACACCAGUGGCGAAGGCGGCCUACUGGGCACCAACUGACGCUGAGGCUCGAAAGUGUGGGUAGCAAACAGGAUUAGAUACCCUGGUAGUCCACACCGUAAACGAUGAUUACUAGGUGUUGGAGGAUUGACCCCUUCAGUGCCGCAGUUAACACAAUAAGUAAUCCACCUGGGGAGUACGACCGCAAGGUUGAAACUCAAAGGAAUUGACGGGGGCCCGCACAAGCAGUGGAGUAUGUGGUUUAAUUCGACGCAACGCGAAGAACCUUACCAAGUCUUGACAUCCCUUGACAGGCAUAGAAAUAUGUUUUCUCUUCGGAGCAAGGAGACAGGUGGUGCAUGGUUGUCGUCAGCUCGUGUCGUGAGAUGUUGGGUUAAGUCCCGCAACGAGCGCAACCCUUAUGGUCAGUUACUACGCAAGAGGACUCUGGCCAGACUGCCGUUGACAAAACGGAGGAAGGUGGGGAUGACGUCAAAUCAUCAUGCCCUUUAUGACUUGGGCUACACACGUACUACAAUGGCGUUAAACAAAGAGAAGCAAGACCGCGAGGUGGAGCAAAACUCAGAAACAACGUCCCAGUUCGGACUGCAGGCUGCAACUCGCCUGCACGAAGUCGGAAUUGCUAGUAAUCGUGGAUCAGCAUGCCACGGUGAAUACGUUCCCGGGCCUUGCACUCACCGCCCGUCA
Molecule: ribosomal RNA, 1382 nt
Filed under: uncultured bacterium
Lineage: Bacteria
Description: bacterial SSU rRNA
Rfam family: Bacterial small subunit ribosomal RNA
Source: RNAcentral